GAAGACGUGCAGGACUUUACUCGGACACGGUGGGAAACUUACAGAACCUGCGUUAGACAGUUCCUUUCUCUGCACGGUGCGUCUAAGGACCUGAUUGACGGAUCAAUCAGCAUCGCCAACAGAGGGACAGACUUUCACAAGCCGAGACACUGACUGCAGAACUGAAACACCCUUCACUGACAGCUACAAUUUCUUCUGAGACUCUCAUCCAUCAAAGGAUUAUAGUUGACCAGGAAGUGCUGCGGAUGGACAAGAUACGAACAACAUCCAUGGGCACAGUGAAGAAUCCAGAGGGUCUUGAUGCUUCAGAAUACAGGCAGGAUCUACUGAAGAGGCGGCUGACGCUGACUUCCCGCAGCUCACCUUCCACUGCUCUGCCAGUUCACCACUGGAUUUGUUGCACAGGUGGCAUCCUCGGACAGUUCCACGCUGGAAUUCACUGAGAUCCUGAGAGCGGCCCGUUCUUUCAGAAAUGUUGCAUGUCAAAAAGAAGAACUCCUGACUGGGUCUGCACAGCUGGGCAGCAGUUUCAAAUUUGACCAACCGACCUUUAACACGCUGAAUAAACAUGUGUGUCUCCUGUACGGCCAGUCAUCUGCCAAAAAUGUAAAUGAUGCACGAUACAAAUCUUUCUGUAUGGCCUCGUCAGCCUGGCCAGAACUCUCCAUUCCCCCAACAAGUCAUGCCCUGGACCGACACUGCAGGAGAGCAAACUACCAAGCAGCCAUUAUGAAACACUGUCUGACUGGUAGAAUGUGAGGCAGUGGGCGACACAGUGAGGAUGGGAGCUGGCAGUGACAUGGAGGACGACAAAUCCUGCUCCUGCAGUGUUUUGCAGGUAGUCCACUGUAGUUGCAAUACAACUAAAUGUGAAACUGAAAGAUGUUCUUGUAUGUCUGCAAGACUGUCUUGUACAGAUUUAUGUUGGUGCCAAGCAUAUGAGAAUGUUUCAGAAGAAACAGAGGACAGAGCUGUAUGGGAUGAUGGCUUUGAUGAAAAUGAUAUUGAUGAGUAAUAUACACACUGUGUCACCAUGUACAGUUUUUCUUUUUCUCUCUUUUUUUUCUAUAUUUGUAUGUGUAUUAAUCUAUAUUUUCAUAUUCAGAGACACUGUCGUACUUGAA
This is a long non-coding RNA of Salarias fasciatus (jewelled blenny), 1124 nucleotides long. RefSeq lists it as uncharacterized. NCBI's taxonomy places the organism in Eukaryota, Metazoa, Chordata, Actinopteri, Blenniiformes, Blenniidae. The transcript is spliced from 3 exons. The record is from RefSeq and is a predicted model, not a curated record.